CAAGUCCUACGGGAGGCAGCAGUGGGGGAUAUUGCACAAUGGGGGAAACCCUGAUGCAGCGACGCCGCGUGGGCGAAGAAGUAUUUCGGUAUGUAAAGCCCUAUCAGCAGGGAAGAAGAAAUGACGGUACCUGAGUAAGAAGCACCGGCUAAAUACGUGCCAGCAGCCGCGGUAAUACGUAUGGUGCAAGCGUUAUCCGGAUUUACUGGGUGUAAAGGGAGCGCAGGCGGCACGGCAAGCCUAAUGUGAAAGCCCGCGCCCCAACCGGCGGACUGCAUUGGGAACUACCGGGCUGGAGUGCCGGG
RNAcentral lists this ribosomal RNA (305 nucleotides) under uncultured bacterium. Its description in RNAcentral is "bacterial SSU rRNA". It matches the Rfam family "Bacterial small subunit ribosomal RNA", at positions 333 to 653 of the family's 1533-position model. The record is from RNAcentral.